GGAGGCUCCAGCGAGGGGGGAGUUUUGCUCGGCUCCGAGCUGGACCCCCUGGCUGCUGGCUCUGGCCAGGAGUCCCUGCCUCUGCUGCAUCCUCUGGUGGUGCAGCUUCUGCUUGGCGGCGUGCAGCUGGAAGGAGAGGCCUUACGUCUGAGUGAAGUCUGUAAGCAGACACUCCCACUGGGACCUCCACCAGAAACUGGAGCAGAAGGGGAAUGGAUCGAUUUGUAAGGCCAUGCUGUAUUAAUGGAUUGGGGGAUAACCUGCCCUGGAAAAAAAGGGAUCUAAUGGCUGAGUAAUGCAUCCAAGCCAAAACCCACUUCUUACUCCAAGCAGCCACACUCACUCGCCUUUUGACUCCUCUUUCUCCUCUCAGUGUCUAAUUCCAUGUGACAAAAUGGAGCCUGUCUCUGCAGCCACAACUGGACAUCAGCCAUGAUGUGUGUGUGUGUGUGUGUCUCAUACUCUGGCAGAGCUGUUGCAAAUUUUUUCACACAGCAAAUCUGCACAUAUGACCAGUGGAAUAAAACAUUCAUGGCCUGCGAA
Molecule: long non-coding RNA, 543 nt
Organism: Gambusia affinis (western mosquitofish)
Lineage: Eukaryota; Metazoa; Chordata; Actinopteri; Cyprinodontiformes; Poeciliidae
Exons: 2
Source: RefSeq, a predicted model, not a curated record